AUAGUUCCCCGUGCUAUACAGUAGGACCUCAUUGCUUCUCCAUUCUAAAGGUAAUCAUUUGCAUGUUUUAUACCUACUUAAACCUAUUAGAUAAAGGGAGUUAAUGGACAUUUCUAAGAAGAUGAGUAGAGGUUUGAGUUUUAAUGCCAGGUCUAUUGAGAGUAUGGUUCACAGACCAGUAUCUGUCCACAAGGAGAUAAGCACAGAAAUUGAGAAGUAUAGAAACUGCCAUUGCAAUUUAGCAUUAUCAGGAUCACCAUACUUGAGCAGUUGUUUACAGCGAAGACUUUUUUAUAGUGAAGUUGUCAUAGAACUCACCUAUGGUGUUAGCUACCUACUGGUUACACAGCACUGGGCUGGAGAUGAAAGAAUUCCUUCCAAUUUCCAAUCACCUCAGCUAGUGUGAGGUGCACUAUUCUAAAAAUGAUGAGCUAGCAGUCUUUUGGCAUUGCUUAAUUAGAGUCAUUGCAUGGCUGAAUGCACAUGCCUGAAGUGCUAUGCUAUGUAGGUUCUUAAAGAUAGAUACACAUGCUUCCAAUGCCAUAUGUGCUGGCAUCAGAGCUGACAUUCUUUUUCGAAGGCACUUUUAAUUUGGGACUUCACAGUACUUAACCCCAGGAUGCUCUGUGAGUCAUUGAGAGUGCCAGAGACAGAGCCAGGGGAACCCCGGGCUCAUGAGGGUGAGAGAUAGGAGUCUAGGAGUAGGCAGCCCCUGCUAUGUUCACUGCCCACCUACUCUGCCCAAAAAUGCAUAAGCUAGGGUCCCUCUACUCAUCAGCCCUCAGUGUCCAAGUAGAGUCACCUUUAUAUAAAACACAUGCUGAAACUUGAACCAGUGUUGUUUUAUGGGUUAUGAAGUGAACAUUUACUGAAAGAUCCACAAGGUUAAAUAGAUGCUCCAAUUUGUUUGUUACACUGAUUAAAAAGUAACCAAAUGUCAUACUUUUAACAGAAUAAUCUCUAUAUAUUCACACACAUUACUACUAUUGAAAUUGUAUAGGAAAAAAGAAAUUGAGCUUAGAGGAAUGAGUAGAUGUCCCAGAGUCAAACACCUGGGACAUCAUUCAUCUGUGCGUUGAACCAGAUCUAGAGCCCCUGCCUAGUUUGUCAUUACUCGUAUUGGAAAAAGUGAACACUGGGACUUUUCCCCUUCAGCGUUAAUGAAAAUAACCCCCAUUUUCUUCCCAUCCAACAUAUUAAAUUUCUUACUGUCAAGUCGAAGGUAGCAAAGGUGGCAACAAGAGAGAGUGACAAAAUAAAAACCUUCCAUAAUGUCUACACUUACUUAAAUGAACAAGAAAUUGAUUUGGUUCUGGUCUCAGACCUGCAACAUUAAUGAUGCUUUGGGAAUUAAGUCUUUCCUUUGGUUUUUCUCUUGACUUUGGAAAUGUCACAACUUGCUGGUUUUACCUACUUCAAUGAUGGGAUCUCAGUUUCCUUGGCUUCCUAAUCUUGUUCUGCUGGAUCACUACAUGCCAGAGCUCCAGAAUUUCGUUUGGGUUUAUGAGUAUUAGAUUUAGAAAAUAAUUUGAGUUUUUAAAUUUUGCAAAUUAUAUAAAUUUGAGUUAGAGUCUAAACAAUCCAAACAAAACACUUAAAAAAAAUAUGCCUCAUGAACUGUUUUGGACAUACCUAUACUGAAAAAAAAACUUAUCCUGAGUUCUUUUCUCUUUCUUCUCCACAUGCUUUUUUAAAUCAAUCUCAUUGAGCCUGGUGGCUUGAUUCAUUCUUUGAGCAGAUAAUUCUCAAAUUUUCCCUUCAUACCUCCUUUUCUCUAUAUUCAUCUGCCUUCUUGGCAUCUUCACUUGGAUAGCUCGCACUUAAUCUAUCCAAAAUCGAGCUCUUAUAUUCAAAACCUCCCCAUAUAGUAUGAACCCCCUUUUUAAUCAAUCUUUCCCAACUAAUAAAUGAUUUCAUUAUUCACUUGGAUUUUUAAGGUAAAAACCAAUUGAUCAUGCUUAAUUCUUCUCUUUUCAUCAUCCUCCAAUAUUUAAUUCAUAAUUCAGGCUUGUAAUUUAGCAUUAAAUUAUGUUCUAAAUAUUUCCAUUUUUCACCAUAUUCCCUUCUCAGUCCCUAGCUUCAGCCACUCUUUGUUCUUGUCCACAUGACUGCAGUGACUUACUCUCCAGCCUUCUUCAUUCAACACGAACCUACAAGAACCCAUUCUCUACAAGGUAGCAAGAGUGAUUUCCCAAAAAUUUUUGCUCACAAAGUUCUCAUGAAAAACUGUGCAGCUCCAUCAAUCUUCAAAAGUUAAAUACACUUCUUACUAUUUCCCAUAGCAGGGAUAUAGUUUAAUCAGCUUUGUAUUUUCACAAUGUAUAUUAGAAUCAUUUAGGAACAGUAGUGAUCAGAAGAUUUUGUAUUAAGCUAUGCUAUAAAAAUAUGUAUACACUGCUAUAUUUAGUACAGACUGUUAUUUUUUAGUGUGAUGCCAUGUAGUCAUACUAUGAUAAAUUGUAACAUGUUCUCACUCUCUCCUCUCUUCUCACACAUUCUCAAAUUAUCCACCAUGACGAGCUCUAUGAGUAUGAUACACAAGAUUAGAUACUUGUAAACAAAUGUCUUUGUGAAAAUUAAGAAAAAUAAACACAGAGACUCUUCCAUUUCUCAAUAUUUGGCUGCAAGAAAAAUCAUGUUAUAAGUAGUUAGAAAGAAGUCUUACAGAUGCUCUUUCUGGGCAUAGAAGUUUGUUCUAAUUCAUUGAGUUCAUGAAUAUUCUCAUUCUCAAUUGAUGUUCUCAACCGUUCUUUUAAACACAUGUACAUCAAUGGUUCUCUAUGUGAGCCCAUUUUCUAGGAUAGAAAACCAGUAAUUAUCCCAUUUGAAACACACAAAGGCCUCAACCAUUGGUCAUAUUAUUGCACAGGCUUGGUGUAUUCAAGCUUGUAUUGAUAUAAUGAUAUAAAUAAUUUAAUAAAGACUCAAGGAUAGAAGCUAGGAAGACCAAAAGUCUCUCCUCUACCAAACAGAACUUCUGUUUAGUAUUAGAGUAUUCAUGACAACCAAUAGUGUCACGUAAUAGCCCUUUGUCCAACUCAAAAUGAAAAAAAAAUCACUACACUUACACAAAAACAUGUCUGAUGAUGUGUAAAUUGGAACUCAGAAGUUCUCAAAAAAUACUUCAUAAUUAACUUUCAAUUCUUUUGUAUAAAGAUCCAUCUUUCCCUAAUUCUUUGCCAAACUUCAGUAAGCUAAAAGUCUCUUUUGACAUACGCAUUCCUUACACCAGAAUUCAUAUCAAAUAGUAGGACCUGUGCCUUCUCUCUCUUUCUCUCUUUCUUUCUUUCUUUUUUUUUUUUUUUUUUUUUUUUUACUUUUUAAUGCUUUAAAAAAUGAGGUGAUCAUGUUGACUCUUAACAAACCUUGUGCUUAUUUUGUCUUGUCUUAAGGUGACCUAGAAGCUCUGGUUGUGUGAAAAGCUUUAAAAUGCUUGUGUAUUCCUAGACAGCAUGACCCACUCCUGGGGCCAGUUUGAGAAAACACAUGUUCAACAGCUUGGUGAGAAUCAUUCUUGAGGCUCAGCAGGUGGUUUGUUAAUGGGAACAAGGGAAGCUUAAGAUUUGACCCCUUGGCUCUGCUACUGCCCUCUGUUCAUGGCUCCCUGGGGCUAGCGAGUUGAGUGAGCUAAGAAAGAACCCACUAUUAAAGAGGCACUAAACUAUUGCUAGGUUCUUCUUAAUAACAUCAGAAAUUGUCCUCCUCAGGGGCCUUACUCUAUAAGUUAUGCCGAAUAAGUUUGGAACACCUGCCUUCAUUACAGGAAAGGAAAGCAGCUCAAACUCUAGUGCCCACAAGACCCCGGAGAGCUCAUACUUUCUCUGGUUUGGUAUUUAUAUCAUAGAGUGUAGGCUCUUGGGAAUAGGGUCAAGACUAUGGGAAUAUGCAGAUGGUAACAACACUUGUGGCCAGAUGGUGAUGUUUAGGGGAAUUUUCCACUGGAACUCCACUUAGCUAGUCUUUAGAAAUUUUGAUCAGAGUUCAGUCCUUUGAGAAACUGCAGGUCAAGUGAGUGAGAGGAUCCCCAGGAAUCAGAUUCAAGUUCAGGCAGGCAGGCUUCCUGUCCCUGCUGAAUUGUAAAGUAAAACUGUAAUUCUGUUAGACAGGCAUAGCACAGAGAGGUACAUAGAAAGGCUAUUCCAUAGAUAUAUCAGGUUCUAGGUUUCAAACAUCAAGAGUAUUUCCAUAUAGUUCUCACUUGAUAUCUAGGAAAAUCUACUAUCAUUUCUGUUCUGGUCAAUAUUUAUUAUAAAACGGAAUGAAGGUUUUAAGCUUUCAGGUUAUGCUUUGUUUUGUAUGGCAACUAGGUACAAGGAUCCAGCAUGAGCUCCUAUGGUUGUAGGACAAUGAAACUAACUGUAAUUUUCCAAUAGAGAAGACUAAGCUUUCUAAAAUCCAAACUUGACUUUACUCCUUAAGAAUAAAAAUAAUGCUGAGCAUCAUUAUAGUAGAAAAAUUGAUCUGAAGAGGGCAGAAGGAGACAUUUAACUGAGAGGAUAAAAUAAAGAAUGAAAAUCUAACCAAGUAGUGUCUUGGAAAGAGAAGAGAGAAAUAACAGUACCUGCAGACGUCUCAUCAGACCAGAGUGUAGCUGUCUGGUGAUGUCCAGACACCAGAGCUACGCAGGCAUGAUGCCCCCGUGACACACAUUCAUCAAUCUCCUGACUGCACUCCAGACAAGCUGGGAUGGGGAGACUGUCAAACAAAAACUAAAUAGAUCAUAAAACAAAACAUACAGCUAUGUUCUACAUGGGAUGAAUUUGUCAGUAUCUCUUUAUAACAAACUAAAUUGGAAUGCAUGCGUUAAUUCCCUGAUUUUGGGGGUUCCCAUAAAUCUGAGAAUAUUGGGAGUGUUUUUAACUUAAAAAAUGGCUAGGACAAAUGAAUACAUAUACAUAUAUAGGUAAAAAAAUAAAGUGUCUCUAGCCACGUCUAUGUUGGGAAACUCACAAAUAAAGAAUGCUUUCCAAACCUUUGUUAGUAGCAAAUUUCAAAUAGAACUCCUGACUCUGACAGGUGAAAAACUAAUUAUGUUUGCUUUAUACACUUUAUACUUCCUUAACAAUCACUGAGGUGAAAAUCAGUCUUCUUUGCUUGGUGUUAAUGAGCUGGGCACAAUUUACAUCCCACCUAGAAUUUCAGGACAUGUGUAUGCAGGAAUCCUCUUUAUCUUCUUGUCUUACUGCCUGGCAAGGCGCUGUCAUCCCUGGCUUUCUCUACCUGCCUGCAGCCCCUUUAAAUGUCUAUCUAGAGGCAGGCUUAGUCUUUCCAUUAUAUGAGCUAGUCUUCACAGGGCAGGGAACAUAUUGUCAUAGUCUAACCUCAUUUGGAUGGAUCUGGAAUAAAUUUUGCUGCCCAAUGCAUAAUACCUCAUGUAUCCAAAAGCCAUCCUAUCUCUUGACCCUCAUUCCUAUUUCGUAUAGCACAAGUUCUUAAAAAACUUGAAGUUCCAUUGACAGUGGAAGUUCUGAAUAAGUUAUACUCAUUUUCUUCUAAUUUUAUAUUCCACAUAUCUCAAUUCUUUGAGUCUAUGGCCUCAUCUCUUUUUCAUCUUUUUUUGCAUAUUACUUUCUUUUGGGGAUUUGAAGGUUAAUACUAACUCCUUGGAAACCAAAAUCUGGGCUUCUCAUUUGGUAACUCAAUAUUAGGAUCUCUUGGGACCUUCCGUCUUUACAGUCUCACAAUCUCCUAUCAUGGGAAAGUCCUUGUGAGACACUCUUCCCCACUUCUAGGUGGGGGUUACAUAGCGAAUGAAAUUUGGGCUGAGCCUUGCAGCCAAAAAAUGCUGGGUGCCUGCAUAUCCAUUGAAUAUCUGAUCAAUCUCCCAUCCUUCAUGUUUCCAAAUCUAGCAUUUUACCUAUUAGGACCGGAUACCUGCUACCAAACCACAGUCUUCCUGUUCAGGAUAUUAACAACUUAGAUAUGUCUUCUUUUCUUCUGUCAGGAGGUUAAAUCCUACUAUCCAUUAAAUCAGCCACUGACUUCUGCAUUAUUACAAAAUGCCAAGAUGGUGUCUUAGCCAACAUGUCCUUAAUAUAUAACCCUAUUUAUGUAAAUAGAUGCCACAAGGUCAUCUAAAAAAAAGUGUCACUUUGGCGUUGUCUCUUUUUGAGUGAAACCUUGGCUGCAGUUUAGCACAAGAUUGAGGUAACCUGGGAUCUCUGAUAGCAAAAUACUGUCUCAGAAUUCUUGCUCUGAACUCACAUGGAAGAACUCAACAUACUGCGGACACUGUGUAGAACAACCUAGGACGUCUUGAGUCCAUUUUGAAGAAAGGAAGUUUUCCAGUACCUCUCAUUCAACCUGCCUGGUCCUCUUCCAAGUUUUCACUAAUCUAUAGCGAGAUCACUGGUAGGAAUCCUUGAGAAUGGCAUCGCUCUCUUAUACUAGAGGCCACUUUAUUCAGGCAGGAAAGCCUUUCCAUGUGUUAAGCAAUGACAUCCUGCCCCCUUGCAAAGAUAGAAGGGAGUCACGCAGCGGGAAAAAGAUGCAAGUUAGGAUGCGUGGGUUGAAGCCCUCCUCUUCUAUUUUCAAUCAUUGUGACAUUGUGUCAGGCACUCAGCUCUCUCUGAAACUAGCUUAUUCAACAUUAAAGCAGGGAAAUUUAUAAAAGGGAUAAUGGGUUGAAGUGUCUUUAUAACUCAGAACACUAGAUAAAUAGGAAAUUAUUUCUGUCACAGAGUCAUUGUACAAGGUGCUGUGAUAGAUUCAAAGGUUUAGAUAUAUUCUUUGACAGAAUCCUUUAUAUCUAAUAGGAAAAGGUGGAGGUUGAGGGCACACAGAGAACUGGGUUAAAAGUCUGGCUUUAGUCCUUGGGGCUAAUGUCACCUACCUCCAAGUGUUCUGUGAAAAUGAACAACAUAUGUUAUAAAACCAGUGCAGGAACAUGGAACACUUAAUGCAGCUCAAUUGAUUAUAAAUAAAGGGACAUAAAUGCUAAAAUAAUCAAAUAAUAAAUAACUGUAUUUUAACCUCAGUAAAAAAAUCUAUAACUUGGUCCCUUCCCAUGUAUUUGCAAUUCUUAAAUGAUGUUUUAAAAUAAGGAAGGUUGGAAUUCCCUUGUGGCUCAGCAGGUUAAGAACUUGACAUAGUGUUCCUGAGGAUGUGAAUUUGAUCCCUGGCCUAGUUCAGUGGGUUAAGGAUCUGAUGUUGCUGCAAGCUGUGGUAUAGGUCCCAGAUGCAUCUCAGAUCCCAUGUUGCUGUGGCUGUGGUGCAGGCCUGCAGCUGCAGCUCCGAUUUGACCCCUGGCUCAGGAACUUCCAUAUGCCACAGGUAUGGC
Molecule: long non-coding RNA, 7279 nt
Filed under: Sus scrofa (pig)
Lineage: Eukaryota; Metazoa; Chordata; Mammalia; Artiodactyla; Suidae
Description: lncRNA (ENSSSCG00015078065.1)
Source: RNAcentral